AUUAAUUCGAUGCAACGCGAAAAACCUUACCUGCUCUUGACAUGUACGGAAGAUUUCAGAGAUGAGAUUGUGCCUUCGGGAACCGUAACACAGGUGCUGCAUGGCUGUCGUCAGCUCGUGUCGUGAGAUGUUGUCUUAAGUGACGCAACGAGCGCAACCCUUGUCACUAGUUGCCAUCAUUAAGUUGGGCACUUUAGUGAGACUGCCGGAGCUAAUCCGGAGGAAGGUGGGGAUGACGUCAAGUCCUCAUGGCCCUUAUGAGCAGGGCUUCACACGUCAUACAAUGGUAAGUACAGAGGGAAGCGAAGCGGCGACGUGGAGCAAAUCUCAUAAAACUUAUCGUAGUCCGGAUCGUAGUCUGCGACUCGACUACGUGAAGUCGGAAUCGCUAGUAAUCGCAGAUCAGCAUGCUG
This 413-nucleotide ribosomal RNA is filed under the name uncultured bacterium. RNAcentral's name for it is "bacterial SSU rRNA". It matches the Rfam family "Bacterial small subunit ribosomal RNA", at positions 945 to 1359 of the family's 1533-position model. The record is from RNAcentral.